Molecule: long non-coding RNA, 175 nt
Organism: Dromaius novaehollandiae (emu)
Lineage: Eukaryota; Metazoa; Chordata; Aves; Casuariiformes; Dromaiidae
Exons: 3
Source: RefSeq, a predicted model, not a curated record
GGCGUGGAGCCUUGCGGGGAGCAGGUCGCUCACAUCCAGGAGGAGCUGGGCGAGGUGUGUGGCAGACCUCGGCGUGGGGAGCCGUAGCCCGGCAGUCGGGAUGGGAGAGCGGAGCAGGCAUUGCAGGAAGUUUUGGAGAGGAGAAGCUGAGCGGCAACGAGGAGCCUGAGCAGGU